RNAcentral lists this ribosomal RNA (249 nucleotides) under uncultured bacterium. RNAcentral's name for it is "partial small subunit ribosomal RNA". It matches the Rfam family "Bacterial small subunit ribosomal RNA", at positions 26 to 288 of the family's 1533-position model. The record is from RNAcentral.
AGAAUCAACGCUGGCGGCGUGCCUAACACAUGCAAGUCGAACGAGAAAGGGUAGCAAUACCUGAGUAAAGUGGCGCACGGGUGAGUAACACGUGACUAACCUACCCUGGAGUGGGGGAUAACUGAGGGAAAACCUUAGCUAAUACCGCAUAAUACCUACGGGUCAAAGGAGCAAUUCGCUUUGGGAGGGGGUCGCGGCCGAUUAGUUAGUUGGCGGGGUAAUGGCCCACCAAGACUGUGAUCGGUAUCC